This 352-nucleotide unclassified non-coding RNA is filed under the name soil metagenome. RNAcentral's name for it is "partial contains 5.8S ribosomal RNA, internal transcribed spacer 2, and large subunit ribosomal RNA". The stretch from base 1 to 120 matches the Rfam family "5.8S ribosomal RNA", at positions 35 to 154 of the family's 154-position model. The record is from RNAcentral.
GAUGAAGAACGUAGCGAAAUGCGAUAAGUAAUGUGAAUUGCAGAAUUCAGUGAAUCAUCGAAUCUUUGAACGCACAUUGCGCCCCCCAGUAUUCUGGCGGGCAUGCCUGUUCGAGCGUCAUUACAACCCUCAGGCCCCCGGGCCUGGCGUUGGGGAUCGGCGGAGCCCCCCGUGGGCACACGCCGUCCCCCAAAUGCAGUGGCGGUCCCGCCGCAGCUUCCAUCGCGUAGUAGCUAACACCUCGCGACUGGAGAGCGGCGCGGCCACGCCGUAAAACACCCAACUCUUCUGAAGUUGACCUCGAAUCAGGUAGGAAUACCCGCUGAACUUAAGCAUAUCAAUAAGCGGAGGA